Molecule: ribosomal RNA, 496 nt
Filed under: uncultured bacterium
Lineage: Bacteria
Description: partial 16S ribosomal RNA
Rfam family: Bacterial small subunit ribosomal RNA
Source: RNAcentral
AUGAACGCUGGCGGCGUGCCUCAUACAUGCAAGUCGAGCGCACGGACGAGAAGCUUGCUUCUCUGAUGUUAGCGGCGGACGGGUGAGUAACACGUGGAUAACCUACCUAUAAGACUGGGAUAACUUCGGGAAACCGGAGCUAAUACCGGAUAAUAUUUUGAACCGCAUGGCUCAAAAGUGAAAGACGGUCUUGCUGUCACUUAUAGAUGGAUCCGCGCUGCAUUAGCUAGUUGGUAAGGUAACGGCUUACCAAGGCAACGAUGCAUAGCCGACCUGAGAGGGUGAUCGGCCACACUGGAACUGAGACACGGUCCAGACUCCUACGGGAGGCAGCAGUAGGGAAUCUUCCGCAAUGGGCGAAAGCCUGACGGAGCAACGCCGCGUGAGUGAUGAAGGUCUUCGGAUCGUAAAACUCUGUUAUUAGGGAAGAACAUAUGUGUAAGUAACUGUGCACAUCUUGACGGUACCUAAUCAGAAAGCCACGGCUAACUACGUG